RNAcentral lists this ribosomal RNA (422 nucleotides) under uncultured bacterium. RNAcentral's name for it is "bacterial SSU rRNA". It matches the Rfam family "Bacterial small subunit ribosomal RNA", at positions 355 to 774 of the family's 1533-position model. The record is from RNAcentral.
UGAGGAAUAUUGGGCAAUACCCGCAAGGGUGACCCAGCAACGCCGCGUGGAGGAUGAAUGUCGUAAGAUUGUAAACUCCUGUUAGGGGGGAAGAAUAGUACCGGUUGGACCGGUAUAUGACUGUACCCUCAGAGAAAGCCCCGGCUAACUACGUGCCAGCAGCCGCGGUAAUACGUAGGGGGCAAGCGUUGUCCGGAUUUACUGGGUGUAAAGGGCGCGCAGGCGGGAUAAAAAGUCAGUGGUGAAAUCCUACAGCUUAACUGUAGAACUGCCUUUGAUACUUUUAUUCUUGAGUUCGGGAGAGAGAGACGGAAUUCCAGGUGUAGUGGUGAAAUACGUAGAUAUCUGGAAGAACACCAGUUGCGAAGGCGGUCUCUUGGUCCGACACUGACGCUGAGGCGCGAAAGCGUGGGGAGCAAACA